UGGCAGGGUUUGAAGUUAUAGUUCAUCACCAUUUUAUAUUGUAAAUCCAUGGUUGUGUUCCACUUAUACUAGUCUCUACACAGUGUGGAUAUGUGUACA
Octopus sinensis (East Asian common octopus) is the source of this 99-nucleotide long non-coding RNA. RefSeq lists it as uncharacterized. Lineage: Eukaryota; Metazoa; Mollusca; Cephalopoda; Octopoda; Octopodidae. The transcript is spliced from 3 exons. The record is from RefSeq and is a predicted model, not a curated record.